Molecule: non-coding RNA, 856 nt
Organism: Triticum urartu
Lineage: Eukaryota; Viridiplantae; Streptophyta; Magnoliopsida; Poales; Poaceae
Source: RefSeq, a predicted model, not a curated record
AGUGGUAUCCCCAACCCACCAGGGUUCAAAUCCUGGUGUUCGCAUUAUUUCUGGAUUUAUUUCAGGAUUUCCGGCGAUAGGGAUAGGGUGUGCGUGUGUACCUUCAUAAGGGUGAGUACAUGCGCAUGUAUAUGAGCGCUUGUGUCUGUAUUAGAGUCCAGGCUCCAGCGUUCCAGCGAACACAAGAUCAAUCUGGCAGAGGUACAGAGUCCAGACUCCAGCGCUCACGCCGGCCUCCGGCGCCGCCGUUCGCCGCCGUGUCGGCUACUGCUGGGCAGCCUUCCUGUGCGCAGUGCGCUGUUCGCCCAAUCUGCCGCUUCUUGACUGCUGUACCUUGGUAAUUUUUUUAUGCUUUCCCGGUACCUUGACUGUUGUAUCAUGUUCUACAACGUCGGUGUGACAUUUGUAUAUAUUACUGUGUGUCUAUGUAUCAGUGUAUAUAAACUGCUCUUAAUUGCAAUAAUGUGUGUAUGUGUAUCAAGUCAUAUAUCUAGUGUAUUGUUGAACUCGAAUUGAUGUGAUUGUCAAUUUCAUUUCAUAUUGUAGAAAAACAAGAUGAAGAGAUUUUUUUCACCGGUGUCUGCAACGAGGGUGUCCACACCUAUCAUUUUAGAUAUAUUUGCAUGUACUAACGAUGAUGAUAUUGUAUAUCGAUUUCAAUCAUAUAUGUCUCGCAAAGGGCUUUUACCCCGUCGAAGUGGUGUUGGCUCUUCUUCCAGCGAUGAUGAGUUUAGGUGACGCACUGAUGAAGCAAAUCAUUGAUUUGGUAUUUUUUUUAUCACAUAAUGUUCUUUGUAGUGCUUGACAUGUUUUAUCUAAUUUUUUGUACCAUUAAGCAUUGAGCUUAAAUUCUAAA